UACGGUGGGGGCAAGCGUUGUUCGGAAUUACUGGGCGUAAAGGGCUUGUAGGUGGCCAACUAAGUCAGACGUGAAAUCCCUCGGCUUAACCGGGGAACUGCGUCUGAUACUGGAUGGCUUGAGUGUGGGAGAGGGAUGCGGAAUUCCAGGUGUAGCGGUGAAAUGCGUAGAUAUCUGGAGGAACACCGGUGGCGAAGGCGGCAUCCUGGACCAAAACUGACACUGAAAAGCGAAAGCCAGGGGAGCAAACGGG
RNAcentral lists this ribosomal RNA (253 nucleotides) under uncultured bacterium. RNAcentral's name for it is "partial 16S ribosomal RNA". It matches the Rfam family "Bacterial small subunit ribosomal RNA", at positions 524 to 776 of the family's 1533-position model. The record is from RNAcentral.